AGCCGGCCGCGGCCCAGCGCCUCUGUAAUCACAGGGCCCACGCCCAGCAGCCAGCGGGGCCAGGAAAUCGCCCCCCCUCCCCCGCCUUCCGCCGCCAGCCCAUGGCCCGAACGCGGCGCCUGCGGCCACUCGCGGUCACUCGCCGGGUGGACCUCCUGCCUGCCUAACGGUGCUUUCUCCUCUGCUUCUCCUCUCCUGCUGCUCUCUCUCGGGGGACUUGGAAGUGUGGCUCUCCAGCUGGGCUGAGUCUCCCAAGAAGGACGUGACAGGUGCCGACACCAACGCCGAGCCCAUGAUCUGGAACAGUACGUGGUGGUGUCCACUACAAGAAGCAGGAGAACUCGGAGCUGAGCCUCAGGCCGGGGAGGUGGUGGAUGUCAUCGAGAAGAACGAGAGCGGUGAGUGCGCGGCCGGCCGGCCAUCCGCUCGGUUCCGGCCUGGCCCCUCGGACGGGCCGGGUCUUGCUCCCUU
This 471-nucleotide long non-coding RNA is filed under the name Dasypus novemcinctus (nine-banded armadillo). RNAcentral describes it as "lncRNA (ENSDNOG00000050134.1)". Lineage: Eukaryota; Metazoa; Chordata; Mammalia; Cingulata; Dasypodidae. The record is from RNAcentral.